GAUUGACCUCGGAUCAGGUAGGGAUACCCGCUGAACUUAAGCAUAUCAAUAAGCGGAGGAAAAGAAACCAACAGGGAUUGCCUUAGUAACGGCGAGUGAAGCGGCAACAGCUCAAAUUUGAAAUCUGGCUCCUUUAGGGGUCCGAGUUGUAAUUUGUAGAGGAUCCUUCGGGCAAGGCGGUGGUCUAAUUUGCUUGGAACAGCGAGUCAUAGAGGGUGAGAAUCCCGUCUAGGAUCGCCAGCCGCGUCCAUGUGAAGCUCCUUCGACGAGUCGAGUUGUUUGGGAAUGCAGCUCUAAAUGGGUGGUAAAUUUCAUCUAAAGCUAAAUAUUGGCCAGAGACCGAUAGCGCACAAGUAGAGUGAUCGAAAGAUGAAAAGCACUUUGAAAAGAGAGUUAAACAGUAUGUGAAAUUGUUGAAAGGGAAGCGCUUGCAACCAGACUUGCGUGUAACGGUUCCCCCGGCCUUCUGGCCGGGUUACUCCGUUAUCUCCAGGCCAGCAUCGGUCUGAGUGGUCGGUUAAAGACCCCGGGAAUGUAUCUACCUUCGGGUCGACUUAUAGCCCGGGGUGUAAUGCGGCCCACCCAGACCGAGGAACGCGCUUCGGCUCGGAUGCUGGCGUAAUGGUUGUAAGCGGCCCGUCUUGAAACACGGACCAAGGAGUCUAACAUCUAUGCGAGUGUUUGGGUGUUAAACCCCUACGCGUAAUGAAAGUGAACGGAGGUAAGAACCCCGCAAGGGGCGCAUUAUCGACCGAUCCUGAUGUCUUCGGAUGGAUUUGAGUAAGAGCAUAGCUGUUGGGACCCGAAAGAUGGUGAACUAUGCCUGAAUAGGGUGAAGCCAGAGGAAACUCUGGUGGAGGCUCGCAGCGGUUCUGACGUGCAAAUCGAUCGUCAAAUUUGGGCAUAGGGGCGAAAGACUAAUCGAACCAUCGUUGAAUGGCGGCUACCGGGUGGUUCCAUGACAGUCCUUCGGGGCUACAUCGUCCUUCUGGCGGGGAUUCAAACCUGCAGCAGUUUAGGCUGUCCACAGACUAGGAGA
Molecule: ribosomal RNA, 1039 nt
Filed under: Verrucaria dolosa
Lineage: Eukaryota; Fungi; Ascomycota; Eurotiomycetes; Verrucariales; Verrucariaceae
Description: eukaryotic LSU rRNA
Rfam family: Eukaryotic large subunit ribosomal RNA
Source: RNAcentral